RNAcentral lists this ribosomal RNA (773 nucleotides) under uncultured bacterium. Its description in RNAcentral is "bacterial SSU rRNA". It matches the Rfam family "Bacterial small subunit ribosomal RNA", at positions 8 to 773 of the family's 1533-position model. The record is from RNAcentral.
AGAGUUUGAUCCUGGCUCAGGAUGAACGCUGGCGGCAUGCCUAAUACAUGCAAGUCGAACGAGGAUCCUUGUGGAUCCUAGUGGCGAACGGGUGAGUAACACGUAGGGAACCUGCCCGCGCACCGGGAAUACGCUCUGGAAACGGAGAACAAAUCCCGAUGUACAGGAAGGAGGCAUCUUCUUUCUGUGAAACAUCCUGUAAGGGAUGGGGCGCGGAUGGACCUGCGGUGCAUUAGUUGGUUGGCGAGGGUAAAGGCCCACCAAGACGAUGAUGCAUAGCCGGCCUGAGAGGGCGGACGGCCACAUUGGGACUGAGACACGGCCCAGACUCCUGCGGGAGGCAGCAGUAGGGAAUUUUCGUCAAUGGGCGCAAGCCUGAACGAGCGAUGCCGCGUGAGUGAAGAAGGCCUUCGGGUCGUAAAGCUCUGUUGCGGGGGAAAAAAGGCAACUACAGGAAAUGGUAGAUGACAGAUGGUGCCCCGCCAGAAAGUCACGGCUAACUACGUGCCAGCAGCCGCGGUAAUACGUAGGUGGCGAGCGUUAUCCGGAAUGAUUGGGCGUAAAGGGUGCGCAGGCGGUCCUGCAAGUCUGGAGUGAAACGUAUGAGCUCAACUCAUGUAUGGCUCUGGAAACUGGAGGACUGGAGAGCAGGAGAGGGCGGUGGAACUCCAUGUGUAGCGGUAAAAUGCGUAGAUAUAUGGAAGAACACCAGUGGCGAAGGCGGCCGCCUGGCCUGUUGCUGACGCUGAGGCACGAAAGCGUGGGGAGCAAAU